Molecule: long non-coding RNA, 356 nt
Filed under: Marmota monax (woodchuck)
Lineage: Eukaryota; Metazoa; Chordata; Mammalia; Rodentia; Sciuridae
Source: RNAcentral
ACAUGCUAGGCAAGUGCUCUACCACUGAACUAUAAUCCCAGCCCAGAUCAAUCUUUCUUUCUUUGUCUUUUUUGUGCUGGGAAUAGAACACCUAGGGGCACUUUACCACGAGCUACAUCCCCAAUUCUUUAAAAUUUUGUUUUUCUUUGCUUUGAAACAGGAUCUUGCUAAGUUGAAGAGGUUGGCCUUGACUUCAUGAUCCUCCAGCCUCCCAAUCCCACCCUAAGGAUUAUAGGCUUGUGUCACUAUGUCUGAUUUAGAUCAGUUCUUUCACAUUAGAGGCUGCCUUUCCCCCCACAUCUCAGCUUUUUCUUUUACCUUCUCUAUUUUUAUUUUCUUUCUUCCUUCCUCUCUCU